This 582-nucleotide long non-coding RNA is filed under the name Bos taurus (domestic cattle). RNAcentral's name for it is "long non-coding RNA NONBTAT019253". Lineage: Eukaryota; Metazoa; Chordata; Mammalia; Artiodactyla; Bovidae. The record is from RNAcentral.
GAGUUCAAUUUUUUUAAUAAUAAAAACAUCUUUAUUAAACACCUCUAUUUAACAUGUUUACGUAAAAUCUUGCAUUUUCUAAACCCAAAUAUUAGUGAACUACUAAUAAAAAUGAAAAAUUAACCUGUUUUCAUGGUCUACAUACAAUGAGAUGCAAAAUAAGCAUAAUAAACAUCUUACAGGAAUAUUUGAGAUCACAGAAAAUAUUAGGAGAUUGACACAUAGGUUAAAACAAUUAUUUGUAAAAAUGUCACCCUUUGGUUAUAAACAAGCAUAUUAUAUAACAGACUUUAUGUCUUAUAUUGUAUUUCCAAAAAUUACACAUAUUUUAGAUAUAACCCCAUCCUAACAUCAACUCAAAAAAUUUACCUUACUUUAGCUAAGGAGAAAUAAAAACGUAUAUGACAGUUUGACAUUAAAGCCAAUUUUUCAUACUACAGAGUAAAUCUGAAAGAAACACUUCAACUGAAGCAACUUUAAGGGUAAAGGUAAUAUUUUAAUAAAGUGAAAUCAGGAAGACUUGCUUAGAUUAGAAAAAGUCCCCUUAGUAACAAUCUUUGUUUAAAAAAACCAAAUAUAUAU